RNAcentral lists this unclassified non-coding RNA (378 nucleotides) under plant metagenome. RNAcentral's name for it is "partial contains 5.8S ribosomal RNA, internal transcribed spacer 2, and large subunit ribosomal RNA". The stretch from base 1 to 105 matches the Rfam family "5.8S ribosomal RNA", at positions 50 to 154 of the family's 154-position model. The record is from RNAcentral.
GAAAUGCGAUAAGUAAUGUGAAUUGCAGAAUUCAGUGAAUCAUCGAAUCUUUGAACGCACCUUGCGCUCCUUGGUAUUCCUUGGAGCAUGCCUGUGUGAGUAUCAUGAAAUCUUCAAAGUAAAUCUUUUGUUAACUCAAUUGGUUUCUACUUUGGUAUUGGAGGUCUUUGCAGCUUCACACCUGCUCCUCUUUGUUCAUUAGCUGGAUCUCAGUGUUAUGCUUGGUUCCACUCGGCGUGAUAAGUUAUCUAUCGCUGAGGACACUGUAAAAGGUGGCCAAGGUAAAUGCAGAUGAACCGCUUCUAAUAGUCCAUUGACUUGGACAAUACUUUUAUGAUCUGAUCUCAAAUCAGGUAGGACUACCCGCUGAACUUAAGC